AGAGUUUGAUCAUGGCUCAGAUUGAACGCUGGCGGCAGGCCUAACACAUGCAAGUCGAGCGGUAGCACAGAGAGCUUGCUCUCGGGUGACGAGCGGCGGACGGGUGAGUAAUGUCUGGGAAACUGCCUGAUGGAGGGGGAUAACUACUGGAAACGGUAGCUAAUACCGCAUAAUGUCGCAAGACCAAAGUGGGGGACCUUCGGGCCUCAUGCCAUCAGAUGUGCCCAGAUGGGAUUAGCUAGUAGGUGGGGUAACGGCUCACCUAGGCGACGAUCCCUAGCUGGUCUGAGAGGAUGACCAGCCACACUGGAACUGAGACACGGUCCAGACUCCUACGGGAGGCAGCAGUGGGGAAUAUUGCACAAUGGGCGCAAGCCUGAUGCAGCCAUGCCGCGUGUGUGAAGAAGGCCUUCGGGUUGUAAAGCACUUUCAGCGGGGAGGAAGGCGGUGAGGUUAAUAACCUCAUCGAUUGACGUUACCCGCAGAAGAAGCACCGGCUAACUCCGUGCCAGCAGCCGCGGUAAUACGGAGGGUGCAAGCGUUAAUCGGAAUUACUGGGCGUAAAGCGCACGCAGGCGGUCUGUCAAGUCGGAUGUGAAAUCCCCGGGCUCAACCUGGGAACUGCAUUCGAAACUGGCAGGCUAGAGUCUUGUAGAGGGGGGUAGAAUUCCAGGUGUAGCGGUGAAAUGCGUAGAGAUCUGGAGGAAUACCGGUGGCGAAGGCGGCCCCUGGACAAAGACUGACGCUCAGGUGCGAAAGCGUGGGGAGCAAACAGGAUUAGAUACCCUGGUAGUCCACGCCGUAAACGAUGUCGAUUUGGAGGUUGUGCCCUUGAGGCGUGGCUUCCGGAGCUAACGCGUUAAAUCGACCGCCUGGGGAGUACGGCCGCAAGGUUAAAACUCAAAUGAAUUGACGGGGCCCGCACAAGCGGUGGAGCAUGUGGUUUAAUUCGAUGCAACGCGAAGAACCUUACCUGGUCUUGACAUCCACAGAACUUUCCAGAGAUGGAUUGGUGCCUUCGGGAACUGUGAGACAGGUGCUGCAUGGCUGUCGUCAGCUCGUGUUGUGAAAUGUUGGGUUAAGUCCCGCAACGAGCGCAACCCUUAUCCUUUGUUGCCAGCGGUCCGGCCGGGAACUCAAAGGAGACUGCCAGUGAUAAACUGGAGGAAGGUGGGGAUGACGUCAAGUCAUCAUGGCCCUUACGACCAGGGCUACACACGUGCUACAAUGGCAUAUACAAAGAGAAGCGACCUCGCGAGAGCAAGCGGACCUCAUAAAGUAUGUCGUAGUCCGGAUUGGAGUCUGCAACUCGACUCCAUGAAGUCGGAAUCGCUAGUAAUCGUAGAUCAGAAUGCUACGGUGAAUACGUUCCCGGGCCUUGUACACACCGCCCGUCACACCAUGGGAGUGGGUUGCAAAAGAAGUAGGUAGCUUAACCUUCGGGAGGGCGCUUACCACUUUGUGAUUCAUGACUGGGGUGAAGUCGUAACAAGGUAACCGUAGGGGAACCUGCGGUUG
RNAcentral lists this ribosomal RNA (1518 nucleotides) under Klebsiella pneumoniae. Its description in RNAcentral is "bacterial SSU rRNA". It matches the Rfam family "Bacterial small subunit ribosomal RNA". The record is from RNAcentral. Lineage: Bacteria; Pseudomonadati; Pseudomonadota; Gammaproteobacteria; Enterobacterales; Enterobacteriaceae.